AUGUGGGCUGGCUCUGAUCCUCCCCGAGUCUGCUCCGUUGGGAACAAGCACAGGGUCGUUUCCAUGGAAUACUCAGGAGCAGGGAUAAGAUGUUUUCUGGCUUCUUCACAUCUAAAUUAUCAGUGGAAGGCUUUGCUUGCCAUACACCUGGGUUUAGGCCCCGUGAUGGCCACUGAGAGAGUGAGCAGGUGGAUGUUCUGCUCUCACUGAAGGUCAUGGAAGUGAACCCUGGAUCCAUGGAGUGACUCUGCCUCCAUGCUCAGCUGACCUGGGUGGCACUGGCCAUUUUUUGGCUCAGGCACAAUCAUCAGGUAAUUAUUAUUGAACUUGGAGAUUCUCUACAAAAUAAGGCCAUUUCUUAACACAUGACGUGUAUCAAAAUAACACCAAUUCAGACAGAUAUAAAAAUAUAAAACCAAUCAUAGAACUAAAAGAAAAACAAUUCUAGAACUAAAAAAUGUUGUAGAAGGCGAGGUCUAGAUAGUUAUAAAUCAAAGGCUGCCAACAGCAUGGUACAGCCAGUGUUUGAGGUGUCAACCUGAACAAUUGGAGAUUAGAUUGGGUUCUCUGGACUUCUGAGGGAUCUUAAACAAAUAAUGUGAUUGCUCUUUCCCGUUUAUGGGAUGUAGAUAACACACUUUCCUCGAAGAUGUAGAGUGAGGUAAGUACCAGGAAGGUCACACAGUUCCUGGAAUAUGGGAGUAGAAAAAUGCCUUGGACUGAGGU
RNAcentral lists this long non-coding RNA (726 nucleotides) under Manacus vitellinus (golden-collared manakin). RNAcentral describes it as "lncRNA (ENSMVIG00005019395.1)". The record is from RNAcentral. Lineage: Eukaryota; Metazoa; Chordata; Aves; Passeriformes; Pipridae.